UGGGGAAUUUUGGACAAUGGGCGAAAGCCUGAUCCAGCAAUGCCGCGUGUGUGAAGAAGGCCUUCGGGUUGUAAAGCACUUUUGUCCGGAAAGAAAUCCUUGGCUCUAAUACAGUCGGGGGAUGACGGUACCGGAAGAAUAAGCACCGGCUAACUACGUGCCAGCAGCCGCGGUAAUACGUAGGGUGCAAGCGUUAAUCGGAAUUACUGGGCGUAAAGCGUGCGCAGGCGGUUUGCUAAGACCGAUGUGAAAUCCCCGGGCUCAACCUGGGAACUGCAUUGGUGACUGGCAGGCUAGAGUAUGGCAGAGGGGGGUAGAAUUCCACGUGUAGCAGUGAAAUGCGUAGAGAUGUGGAGGAAUACCGAUGGCGAAGGCAGCCCCCUGGGCCAAUACUGACGCUCAUGCACGAAAGCGUGGGGAGCAAAACAGGAUUAGAUACCCCUGGUAGUCCACGCCCUAAACGAUGUCAACUAGUUGUUGGGGAUUCAUUUCCUUAGUAACGUAGCUAACGCGUGAAGUUGACCGCCUGGGGAGUACGGUCGCAAGAUUAAAACUCAAAUGAAUUGACGGGGUCAUAGCUG
This 581-nucleotide ribosomal RNA is filed under the name uncultured bacterium. RNAcentral describes it as "partial 16S ribosomal RNA". It matches the Rfam family "Bacterial small subunit ribosomal RNA", at positions 355 to 932 of the family's 1533-position model. The record is from RNAcentral.